This 977-nucleotide ribosomal RNA is filed under the name Pallaseopsis kessleri. RNAcentral describes it as "16S ribosomal RNA". The stretch from base 603 to 927 matches the Rfam family "Bacterial large subunit ribosomal RNA", at positions 2073 to 2647 of the family's 2925-position model. Lineage: Eukaryota; Metazoa; Arthropoda; Malacostraca; Amphipoda; Pallaseidae. The record is from RNAcentral.
UAAAUAGAGAUACACAUAGGUAAAGAAAAUUUAACCAUUGUACCUCUUGUAUCAGGGGAGUUUAAAAUAUUAAACAGGGGUUAAUCGAGCGACGGGGAACUUUUUAUUAAGGUGUUAGUUGAAUUUAUCAUGUUAAUAUUUAACGGGGCGAUAAAUGUACGGCACGUUUAAUUUCUAUUUACUUUUGUUUGUUAGGGCAAAGCCUGGCAGUGUUUAGGUUAAAGCGUUGAGUAUAAAGAAGACAAGGCUUUAGAUUGGUCAAGUUACUAAAUUGUUUUUAAUAAUUUUUCGUAAUUCAUAUCAGCUAAAUUUUAAAGGUUAGUUUAAAGGCUACUAGCUAAACUUAAUAAUGAAUUUAUUGAACCCAAAAUGAAAGCUUAAAGAGACUCAAACUAAGUUAGAAUGUUUAACAAAAACAUUUCUUUUUUCUUAGGAAGUAUUGCCUGCCCAGUGAUUAUUAAACGGCUGCGGUAUUUUAACUGUGCUAAGGUAGCAUAAUCAUUUGCUUCUUAAUUGGUAGCUGGAAUGAACGGUUAAACUGUCUUAGUACGUGUGUUAGCUUAAAUAGAAAAUUAAAGUCAAGGUAAUAAUUCUUUGAUGCUCUAGGGGACGAUAAGACCCUAUAAGCUUAACAAGCUUAAAGUAAAUUUUGUGGUAUAGGUUAUUUUGUUUUAUUGGGGCGAUAUUGGUGAGUUAGCCGCCACACUAGUUAAGAUCCCUAACAUUUGGAUAGAGCGUAAAAGUUACUUUAGGGGUAACAGUGUUAUAUACUUGGAGAGACCUUAUCGAUAAGUGUGCUUGCUACCUCGAUGUUGAAUUAAAAUUUCUAUGCGAAGCAGUAGGUGCCGGAGAAGGUUUGUUCAACCUUUAAAUUUUUACAUGAUUUGAGUUCAAAUCGGUUUAAGCCAGAUUGGAUUUUAUCUCUAGAUAGGUUUAGCCCUCUUUAGUACGAAAGGGUUGACUGGGCUUGGUUGUCU